UAAAGUUAGGUCUGUGGAUGAAAGUCGAUGCCAGUCGCAGGCGAAGCGAUCCACGUAAGUUAGGCAAAAGUUCUAAUGAGCAUGGUGCGGUGUAGAAGUAAGUCCUACCAAGAAAUUGAGAGGGUUAGUAGUGAGGGGUUAAUUCCUAGUAGCAAAAGCUCCAGUAGGCGAGUGUGGGGUCAAAGUCCAGGUCAGAUAACUUUG
The submitters of this non-coding RNA (204 nucleotides) gave its source as unclassified sequences. The record is from Rfam.